AAAAUGGGUCCCUGGUAUAAAUCUUAAAAAAACUCACCCCAAAGCAUACCAAUAAAAUAAAAUAAAAAUCAAUGUAUUCUGUAAAUUACAAAUACAGUGCACAUAGCAUAUUAUAGGUAUACAAUAACAUGUUUAGCCAAGGAGUUAAAUUUAUAAAUGCUGGUUUAAAAAAGUGAUCAUUUUAAAUUAAUGCCAGAUUAUCUCAUUAAUUGAAAUAUAUAUUUUUAAAACAGCUAUUCUGCUUGUUAUUUGCUAUUUAUUAUGGGCUCAUUAGUUCAGAAAUUGGGAAAUACUUUUACAAAGGUACCAAAGACAUAAAUUUGAAACCAGAAUGCCAGCAUAUGUAACCAAUGUCAAGGGUAUUGAACAGACUGAGUCAGAGGUUACCCAGAGCUCAGUUUCUGCAAAGGUCACCAAAAUGAAGAGGAAAAUGUAGAAAAAGGGGUCGAUGGAAGUUUUAAAAUAUACAUGGAGAUCCA
RNAcentral lists this long non-coding RNA (479 nucleotides) under Homo sapiens (human). RNAcentral describes it as "HSALNT0233911". Lineage: Eukaryota; Metazoa; Chordata; Mammalia; Primates; Hominidae. The record is from RNAcentral.